ACCGAAUAGAUACCCGGGUAGUCCACGCCGUAAACGAUGGAUGCUAGCUGUUAGGAGUAUCGACCCUUCUAGUAGCGAAAGCUAAACGCGUUAAGCGUCCCGCCUGGGGAGUACGGUCGCAAGAUUAAAACUCAAAGGAAUUGACGGGGACCCGCACAAGCGGUGGAGCGUGUUCUUUAAUUCGAUGAUAAGCGAAGAACCUUACCAGGACUUGACAUCCAGGGAAGCACUACGAAAGUAGAGUGUGCCUUUUGGAACCCUGUGACAGGUGCUGCAUGGCCGUCGUCAGCUCGUGUCGUGAGAUGUUUGGUUAAGUCCAUUAACGAGCGCAACCCUUAUGAAUAGUUGAAUUUUUCUAUUCAGACUGCCCC
RNAcentral lists this ribosomal RNA (371 nucleotides) under uncultured bacterium. RNAcentral's name for it is "bacterial SSU rRNA". It matches the Rfam family "Bacterial small subunit ribosomal RNA", at positions 772 to 1155 of the family's 1533-position model. The record is from RNAcentral.